UAUCUCUGUAGAGUCUGCAUAUCAAUAAGCGGAGGAAAAGAAACUAACAAGGAUUCCCUUAGUAACGGCGAGUGAAGCGGGAAGAGCUCAAAUUUGAAAUCUUCAAGGUUCUACCUUGACGAAUUGUAGUUUAUAGAAGUGUUUUCUGUUAGUGGAGUGGCAAAAGUUCUUUGGAAUAGGACAUCAUAGAGGGUGAGAAUCCCGUAUUUGGUCAUUCCUCCUAGCGUUGUGAUACACUUUCAACGAGUCGGAUUGUUUGGGAAUGCAGUCCAAAAUGGGUGGUAAAUUUCAUCUAAAGCUAAAUAUUGGCGAGAGACCGAUAGCGAACAAGUACCGUGAGGGAAAGAUGAAAAGAACUUUGAAAAGAGAGUUAAACAGUACGUGAAAUUGUCAAAAGGGAAGCGUUUGACACCAGUGUUGUUUUUCCGAAAAUCAAUUACGAAUGUUUUAUUUUUGAGGAGUUAUGACUUCAUCGGCUUGCUCCUUUCUUUAUGAAACUUUCUUAAUGCACUUUUCGGUUAACAAGUCAACAUCAAUUUCUUUUGUUGUAAAAGGGUAUGAGGAAGGUGGCUUUCUUUUCGGAGAAAGUGUUUAUAGCCUUGUGCCUCUGCAAUCGGAGAGAUUGAGGUCUGCAGCGUAGAUCCUUCGGGGUUAGAUACGUUUGUGCUAAGUUAUAGCUUUUCAUAGACAACUUGUUGACUAUGUUUAGUCUUGUAGCUUACUCGCUGAUGCUAUUUUACCUACGCUUAGGAUGUUGAGUAGCGACAUACGCAC
This 774-nucleotide ribosomal RNA is filed under the name uncultured Neocallimastigales. RNAcentral's name for it is "partial large subunit ribosomal RNA". It matches the Rfam family "Eukaryotic large subunit ribosomal RNA", at positions 24 to 649 of the family's 3401-position model. The record is from RNAcentral. Lineage: Eukaryota; Fungi; Neocallimastigomycota; Neocallimastigomycetes; Neocallimastigales.